AUGUCCAGGGCUACACACGUGCUACAAUGGCGAUACAGAGGGAAGCAAGGCCGCAAGGUAGAGGCUAAUCCCUAAAGUCGUCCUCAGUUCGGAUUGCAGGCUGCAACUCGCCUGCAUGAAGUCGGAAUCGCUAGUAAUCGCGGAUCAGCUACGCCGCGGUGAAUACGUUCUCCGGGCCUU
Molecule: ribosomal RNA, 180 nt
Filed under: uncultured Aminicenantes bacterium
Lineage: Bacteria; Candidatus Aminicenantota
Description: partial 16S ribosomal RNA
Rfam family: Bacterial small subunit ribosomal RNA
Source: RNAcentral